GAUGAACGCUGGCGGCGUGCCUAAUACAUGCAAGUCGAGCGAACAGACGAGGAGCUUGCUCCUCUGACGUUAGCGGCGGACGGGUGAGUAACACGUGGAUAACCUACCUAUAAGACUGGGAUAACUUCGGGAAACCGGAGCUAAUACCGGAUAAUAUAUUGAACCGCAUGGUUCAAUAGUGAAAGACGGUUUUGCUGUCACUUAUAGAUGGAUCCGCGACGCAUUAGCUAGUUGGUAAGGUAACGGCUUACCAAGGCAACGAUGCGUAGCCGACCUGAGAGGGUGAUCGGCCACACUGGAACUGAGACACGGUCCAGACUCCUACGGGAGGCAGCAGUAGGGAAUCUUCCGCAAUGGGCGAAAGCUUGACGGAGCAACGCCGCGUGAGUGAUGAAGGUCUUCGGAUCGUAAAACUCUGUUAUUAGGGAAGAACAAAUGUGUAAGUAACUAUGCACGUCUUGACGGUACCUAAUCAGAAAGCCACGGCUAACUACGUG
This 497-nucleotide ribosomal RNA is filed under the name uncultured bacterium. RNAcentral's name for it is "partial 16S ribosomal RNA". It matches the Rfam family "Bacterial small subunit ribosomal RNA", at positions 28 to 507 of the family's 1533-position model. The record is from RNAcentral.